UAUAAUGCAUUACCAACUAUUAGAUUGCUGAAAAUAAAGAUUAGAGAGUAGAUUAAGAUUUGUUCUGUCAUUGUUUUUUCUCCUUCCCAUCACAUAUCGACUUGUCAAUUUCCCAGGGUGGCACCCAGGGGAAGUCGGUACAGUUUGGAUGGGUCUUGUGAUACUCCUCAUUAUCAAAAAGGCAGUUGACGCAGAUGGGUUCACGGUCAUAAGUGUAUCCCUCUGCCUCGUGGUCGCCGUAACUGCAUUUCUCAGUCAUCAGUUAUACUAAAAUCAUAAAUUUCUUCUGUCCCAUACUCAUAAUCAUCUCCGUUUUCAAAUAUAACAUGUAGAAUGGGGUUUUUCUUUGGAAACGGAUUUGAUUCAUACACGAAUCGUUCCACGUUUUCGAUUACUUGUUGAGG
RNAcentral lists this ribosomal RNA (404 nucleotides) under uncultured eukaryote. RNAcentral's name for it is "partial small subunit ribosomal RNA". The record is from RNAcentral.